UACGUAGGUGGCAAGCGUUGUCCGGAUUUACUGGGCGUAAAGAGCGCGCAGGCGGUCGGAUCAGUCGAAUGUGAAAGCCCCCGGCUCAACUGGGGAGGGUCAUUCGAUACUGUCCGACUCGAAGGCAGGAGAGGGAAGCGGAAUUCCCGGUGUAGUGGUGAAAUUCGUAGAUAUUGGGAAGAACACCGGUGGCGAAGGCGGCGACCUGGUCCGUGACUGACGCUGAGGCGCGAAAGCGUGGGGAGCAAACAGG
Molecule: ribosomal RNA, 253 nt
Filed under: uncultured bacterium
Lineage: Bacteria
Description: partial 16S ribosomal RNA
Rfam family: Bacterial small subunit ribosomal RNA
Source: RNAcentral